UUGUAUAUUUAGCUUUAGUCAUGUUUCAAGCUUAUAAGUGUUGUAAUCUAUGUUGUUUUCUUUGUAAGCUUUCCUUGGGACGUGUCCCAUAACCAGGCAUACUUCUCACAGAGAGAAAGACAUCCGAAAACCCACCACCGCUCAACCUCUGUUCCACCGCUUCUCCUCCGGCCGGCGUCAUCCUCAUCGCCAGUAUAGAAAACUAUGAACAAAAAGGCAAGAAAUCGGAAUCAGAGUUUCACUCUGUUCGGAAUCUGCUUCAUGAGAGUUGGGAGCUAGCGUCUAUUCUUGCAGGUAAUUUAUGAUUUUUGAGGUUUUUGAUCUGUAAUUUUAAGUUGGAGAUUUGUUUUUGGUGCUCGAUUUGUGUUGAUGGAUAUGCAUUUGUAUGAUGUUUAUGUUUAUGUUGGAAAGAUCAAUGGCAUAGGCUACUUUUGGUUAUGUUAAGAUUGGUAAAUUUUAGAUUUUUAAUGUAGAUUGGUGUUAAGUUGUUAACUGAUAUUGGACUGCAUAUGAUAAGAUUUUUUUAGAUAUGUCACAUGGUGAUAAAAGGGUUUUUGUUAUAGUUGUUGUUUUACUUUCAGUUGUGCAAGUCUCUGAAGAAAUGUCUUAUGAUUUAGACACGCCUAAAGCGAAGGGCGCAUGUUCCAUAUCUCCUCUUCAUACUGUAACAACCAUUUUGUUUAUUACUGUAAUUGCUUUUCUGUUCCAGAUUAUCUUGAAAAUAAAGAGGAUAAGCAAUCAAGAAAGGCCUAAAGCGAAGGGCGUAUGGCCUGUUAUCGGACACUAGGGAUGAGCAAAUCGUACCGGGUACCGGUACCAAAUUUACCGAACCGGGUACAUUUUCGAUACCGAUUUGGUACCGACUUUUGACAUUUUCGGUACAGGUAUUUACUGGUUUUUGCACUCAAAUACCUUUACCGUACCUGUACCGAACUGUACCGGGUAUAUUCGGUACCGGUACCCACUUUUGGGGAUUUUCGGUACCGGUAUUUUCGGUACCAAGCUUAUCCCUAUCGGACAUCUACACCUUCUAGGUGGAUCGAAACUCUUACAUCAUGUUUAUAAACACUGUGCAGUUAUAUAAGCAUCAACAACAGCUCCAGUUUUGAAGUGAGGGAUAUUAUAUAUAAUCAAGGUGAUGUUUCUGUUUUGAUAUUUUAAUUUUACUUGGUUAUAUUAAAUAGCGUAUGUAUCAUGCUAAUUUGAGUGUGUUUAGGCGCAUGCCAUCUCCAUCAGCUCCACGUAUAUCUGAUAUAUAUCUCUCACAAGUUGCCUUUGUUCCAAAAUCCAAACACCUUUGCAUUGCAUAAGUGAAAUCCCAAUGAGAAGACUGAAGACAAAGUAGGUAACUAUAAAACCAUAAACAUGUUUCAUGGGCUGCAAACAUCAAUGCUGGUAAAUUAUAGGUAAAGAGUGUUAUGCCACAAAUGACAAAAUCUUUGCGGGUCGAACCAAGUCAACGACAACAGAGAUCAUGGGGUAUAACUACGCCUGGUCGUCCGGGCUCCGUAUGGCGGAAAGUGCACAAGAUGCUCACGCUCGAAAUCUUCUCUCAAUGAAGAGUACAGAUGCUCGAACAUGUUCAAGACGUCUUAAAAGGAUGGUUGAAAGAGCACAAGAAGGAAAACGUGUCUGGGAAGCAACAAGAAGGCAACCAAGUCUUCAUAGAUGUCAUGAUUUCCAUUCUCUAAGAUACUUCUAAAGAGGAUUUUUCAUGGUUGUGGUACUAAUAGGUCGCCAAAUAAAAGAGUUUUCUGUAACAAAACUUACUGUAACAGUCGGUUUUCUGGCCAACUAAUGGUUAGUUGUGGAGGUCCAUAGGCAGAAAGCUUCCAAUGGUGGUGAGAUCACGACUGUCGUGGUUGUGGUAGUAGGUAACGGGUCAAAUCCCAAAUCGUUUACAGGACUUCGGUGUGGUGAAUAAGAGGAAUGAUGUGAGGUAAAUUUAUAUGUUAUCUCACAUUUUGGUA
This is a long non-coding RNA of Helianthus annuus (common sunflower), 1970 nucleotides long. RefSeq lists it as uncharacterized. The transcript has 3 exons. The record is from RefSeq and is a predicted model, not a curated record. NCBI's taxonomy places the organism in Eukaryota, Viridiplantae, Streptophyta, Magnoliopsida, Asterales, Asteraceae.